AACGAACGCUGGCGGCGUGCCUAACACAUGCAAGUCGAACGAGAAAGUCCCGCAAGGGAUGAGUAAAGUGGCGCACGGGUGAGUAACACGUAGGUAACCUGCCUCUAAGAUCGGGAUAACCUGUCGAAAGACGAGCUAAUACCGGAUAAGACCACAGUCCCCUCGGGGACAGGGGUCAAAGGUAGCCUCUGCUUGCAAGCUAUCACUUAGAGAUGGCCUGCGUACCAUUAGCUAGUUGGUAGGUAACGGCCUACCAAGGCAAAGAUGGUUAGCUGGUCUGAGAGGAUGAUCAGCCACACUGGAA
RNAcentral lists this ribosomal RNA (304 nucleotides) under uncultured bacterium. RNAcentral describes it as "bacterial SSU rRNA". It matches the Rfam family "Bacterial small subunit ribosomal RNA", at positions 29 to 318 of the family's 1533-position model. The record is from RNAcentral.